UAGGUUAAGGCCAAAGUUUGAGGCAUCUAAUUGUUAACUAGAAGAUUGUGAUAUUCACUAACCUAG
Molecule: transfer RNA, 66 nt
Filed under: Neomphalidae sp. Hatoma
Lineage: Eukaryota; Metazoa; Mollusca; Gastropoda; Neomphalida; Neomphalidae
Also listed under: 1 other name
Description: tRNA-Asn
Source: RNAcentral